GUAGCGCUGGCUUCAGGAGCACAUAUUGGAAUAAUAAAGAGAAGAUUAGCAUGCCCCCUGCACAAGGAUGACACAAAAAUUCAUGAAGAGUUUCAUAUAUUU
Small nuclear RNA from Meriones unguiculatus (Mongolian gerbil), 102 nucleotides. NCBI's taxonomy places the organism in Eukaryota, Metazoa, Chordata, Mammalia, Rodentia, Muridae. The record is from Ensembl.